This 208-nucleotide long non-coding RNA is filed under the name Hordeum vulgare. RNAcentral's name for it is "long non-coding RNA (HVUL_LNC006493)". The record is from RNAcentral. Lineage: Eukaryota; Viridiplantae; Streptophyta; Magnoliopsida; Poales; Poaceae.
UUUUUGAUAUGUUAAAUACCAGCUCCGCCAGUCGCUAUAGACUUGUGGCCCCUUGGCGCUGCACAUUUCUUCCGUGUUCCUUCUUUAAUAGAUCCCGAAAUUCCAUUAAAAUUGCUGUUACGUAAUCCCGGGUCCGCUAACACCAGCAUUUUCGAUCCACAUGCGUCAACAGACCCAAUCUUUCCCUCCAAAAGACUAGCCUGUUAGG